GACGAACGCUGGCGGCGUGCUUAACACAUGCACGUCGAGCGAGCGGCGGACGGGUGAGUCAUGUAUGGGGACUGCCCGAUAGAGGGGGAUACCUACUGGAAACGGUGGCUAAUACCGCAUACUAUCGGAUAACCCAUAUGGGAUUAGCUAGUAGUUGGGGUAAAGGCUCACCUAGGCGACGAUCUCUAGCUGGUCUGAGAGGAUGAUCAGCCACACUGGGACUGAGACACGGCCCAGACUCCUACGGAGGCAGCAGUGGGGAAUAUUGCACAAUGGGCGCAAGCCUGAUGCAGCCAUGCCGCGUGUAUGAAGAAGGCCUUAGGGUUGUAAAGUACUUUCAGCGGGGAGGCGUUACCCGCAGAAGAAGCACCGGCUAACUCCGUGCCAGCAGCCGCGGUAAUUC
RNAcentral lists this ribosomal RNA (403 nucleotides) under uncultured bacterium. RNAcentral's name for it is "partial 16S ribosomal RNA". It matches the Rfam family "Bacterial small subunit ribosomal RNA", at positions 28 to 526 of the family's 1533-position model. The record is from RNAcentral.